UUCACGUGCCACACAGCCGCGGUAAUACGUAGGUGCAAGCGUUAAUCGGAAUUACUGGCGUAAGCGUGCGCAGGCGGUUCGGAAAGAAAGACGUGGAAAUCCCAGAGCUUAACUUUGGAACUGCAUUUUUAACUACCGAGCUAGAGUGUGUCAGAGUGGAGGUGAAUUCGGGCGUGUGCAGGAAUGCGUAGAUAUGCGGAGGAACACCGAUGGCGAAGGCAGCCUCCCGGGGAUAACACGGACGCUCAUGCACGAAAGCGUGGGGAGCAAACAGGAUUAGAUACCCUGGUAGUCCACGCCCUAAACGAUGUCAACUAGCUGUUGGGGCCUGCCCGGUAGCGCAGCGCUAACGUGCGUGAAGUUGACCGCCUGGGGAGUACGGUCGCAAGAUUAAAACUCAAAGGAAUAGACGGGGACCCGCACAAGCGGUGUGGAUGAUGUGGAUUAAUUCGAUGCAACGCGAAAACCUUUACCUACCUUUGACAUGUCUGGAAUCCCGAAGAGAUUUGGGAGUGCUCGCAGAGAACCGGAACACAGGUGCUGCAUGGCUGUCGUCAGCUCGUGUCGUGAGAUGUUGGUUAAGUCCCGCAACGAGCGCAACCUUUGUCAUUAGUUGCUGCCAGAAAGGGCACUGGAUGAGACUGCCGGUGACAAACCGAGGAAGGUGGGGAUGACGUCAAGUCCUCAUGGCCCUUAUGGUAGGCUCACACGUCAUACAAUGGUCGGGACAGAGGGUCGCCAACCCGCGAGGGGAAGCCAAUCCCAGAAACCCGAUCGUAGUCCGGAUCGCAGUCUGCAACUCGGACUGCGUGAAGUCGGAAUCGCUAGUAAUCGCGGAUCAGCAUGUCGCGGUGAAUACGUUCCUGGUCUUGUACACACCGCCCGUCACACCAUGGGAGUGGGUUUUACCAGAAGUAGCUAGCCUAACCGUAAGGAGGGCGAUUACCACGGUAGGAUUCAUGACUGGGGUGAAGUCGUAACAAGGU
RNAcentral lists this unclassified non-coding RNA (986 nucleotides) under uncultured Bordetella sp. RNAcentral's name for it is "partial 16S-23S ribosomal RNA intergenic spacer". It matches the Rfam family "Bacterial small subunit ribosomal RNA", at positions 500 to 1497 of the family's 1533-position model. The record is from RNAcentral. Lineage: Bacteria; Pseudomonadati; Pseudomonadota; Betaproteobacteria; Burkholderiales; Alcaligenaceae.